GCGCCCGUAGCUCAAUUGGAUAGAGUGUCUGGCUUCGGACCAGAAGGUUGUAGGUUCGAGUCCUACCGGGCGCACCA
RNAcentral lists this transfer RNA (77 nucleotides) under Candidatus Moraniibacteriota bacterium. RNAcentral's name for it is "tRNA-Arg". It matches the Rfam family "tRNA". Rfam says of the family: Transfer RNA (tRNA) molecules are approximately 80 nucleotides in length. Their secondary structure includes four short double-helical elements and three loops (D, anti-codon, and T loops). Lineage: Bacteria; Candidatus Moraniibacteriota. The record is from RNAcentral.